UUUAUUUUACUACUGUAUAUUAUUUUAACAAUGAUUUGAGUCACUCAACUCUAACAGAGUAUGAAUUAAGUAAUCGAGUAUGUUUGUUGCUGUGGAUCCCCAUGAUAAGAUGAGCACAAGGAUCUACAUGUAUGUAAAAUAAUGGUUGGGUCAAUAAAGAUAUUGUAAAACAUGCAUCGGUCUUGCAAAUUAAAAAAUCGACUUGGUGGGUACGAGUAGAGAAUGAUGAAAUAAUAAUUGAUAACAUACUAAUAUUGUGGUUGUGGG
This 267-nucleotide long non-coding RNA is filed under the name Gossypium barbadense (sea-island cotton). RNAcentral's name for it is "long non-coding RNA (GBAR_LNC014435)". Lineage: Eukaryota; Viridiplantae; Streptophyta; Magnoliopsida; Malvales; Malvaceae. The record is from RNAcentral.